UUUCCCUCUGCCCAUUAGCGGUGGCCAUCCAAGGUAAGAGGUGCCAAAGGCACCCGCCACCGCCUUCCGCAAGGAAGAGGGCAGAGGGGGAGGU
Molecule: non-coding RNA, 94 nt
Filed under: unclassified sequences
Description: DUF1874 RNA
Rfam family: DUF1874 RNA
About the family: Hot springs metagenome only. Environment (Bison Hot Springs, Yellowstone)
Source: RNAcentral